Molecule: long non-coding RNA, 1647 nt
Filed under: Macaca fascicularis (crab-eating macaque)
Lineage: Eukaryota; Metazoa; Chordata; Mammalia; Primates; Cercopithecidae
Description: lncRNA (ENSMFAG00000050538.1)
Source: RNAcentral
UUAAAGAAGGAAGAGGUUUAUUUGGCCAGGAGUGUCAGCAGACUUGCAUCUUAAAAGCCGAGCUCCCUGAAAAAGAAAUUCUUGGCCUUUUUAAAGGCUUACAACUCUAAGGAGUCCAUGUGAAAGAGUCAUGAUGAAUUGAGCAAGUGUGGGGAAUGUGACUGGGGGGCUACAUGCAUCAGCUAAUAGAACAGAAAGUUUUGCAAUGCUUUUUCAUACAAUGUCUGGAAUUUACAGAUAACACAAGUAGUUUAGAUCGGGGUUGAUAUUAUUAUUACCUUUUUUUUUUUUUGAGACAGAGUCUCGCUCUGUCGCCCAGGCUGGAGUGCAGUGGCCAGAUCUCAGCUCACUGCAAGCUCCGCCUCCCAAGUCUACACCAUUCUCCUGCCUCAGCCUCCCGAGUAGCUGGGACUACAGGCGCCCGCCACCUCGCCGGGCUAGUUAUUUGUAUUUUUUUAGUAGAGACGGGGUUUCAACGUUAGCCAGGUUGGUCUCGAUCUCCUGACCUCGUGAUCCGCCCGUCUCGGCCUCCCAAAGUGCUGGGAUUACAGGCGUGAGCCACCACGCCCGGCCUAUUAUUACUUUUUUAACUCCUAGGGCCAGGUGGUGGUGCCAAGGUUGUCUGGCUAUUUAUCUUACUUCUGUUUCUUUCCAACUUUUUGCUUUCUCUCUUUCCUCCUCUCUUGUGAACUAGGCAAGAUGGGGGGAGGAGGACAGCAGGAGUAGUAGUGGUCUCCUUCCUUAAUGCCUCCCCUACCUCUAGCCCACUUCCAGCCCUCAGCUCUCCAGGGAGGAAAGGGUCCUGUGCUCUUGGGGAAGACCCAGAGGAGAGGUGGUUUUGCAAAUGGACACAUUUGCAGCUGGCUCUCCCACUCCUUGGCCCUGGAGGAGGGGCACGGUGUCUGCUGAUUCCAUCACCAAAUGCGAGAUAGAUAGUGUUUCCGGGGGUGUGUAUGGUCUUGGUGACACCAUGUGGAUGUGUGUUCCUGUGUCCUAGGUGGAUGGCCAGCUGAGUGUGUGCCUCCUUUUGUAUCUCCAUGUGGUACCAUGCUCUUGUGGACAGAAGCACAUCCUUUGGCUCCUGAGUCACAGCAAUUGUAGAUCUAGAGCCCACCUGGCCUUUGGGCCUCCUCUGGUCGCACCUCAUCACUGCCAGAUGAGGAAGGCGAUAACCAGAGAGGGGAAGAGCCCAAGUUUGUGAACAGAAAAGCUGGGCUUCAACCUGGGACUUCAGACUCCACAAAACAGAGAUGGCGGACCCUGCUCCUAACCUCCCAAACUGGGGUCCUCUCAGCUGGGAAUCCUCUGAGGAGCAAUUCAGGUACCUGGGACUUUUGCUUGCCUUCCCCCACUUCCUCUCCCCGGAUCAGCAGCGUCCAUCCUGGUUCCCCAGGCCCCUCCCAACCUCCACCUGGCUUUGGGCACUGCUGGAACCCAGGCAAGCCUGCCUGAGGCCUGGCCUCAAAGAUAACGAAGUUAGGGCUUUGCUUUACUCCUGACUACAACCCGAGUCACCCCGAGCUGCUCACCCAGGUGCUCCCACCCACAGACAACUGAGGAUGAGGAGGGAGAACGGAAGAAAAGGCUUUGGGCCCUGGGAGUGAAGCCUAGGACUCAGAACAAACUCAGGAAGUGGGGAGAGGGGAU